AGUGAACGCUGGCGGUAGGCCUAACACAUGCAAGUCGAACGGCAGCACAGUAAGAGCUUGCUCUUACGGGUGGCGAGUGGCGGACGGGUGAAGAAUACAUCGGAAUCUACUUUUUCGUGGGGGAUAACGUAGGGAAACUUACGCUAAUACCGCAUACGACCUACGGGUGAAAGCAGGGGAUCUUCGGACCUUGCGCUAUUGAAUGAGCCGAUGUCGGAUUAGCUAGUUGGCGGGGUAAAGGCCCACCAAGGCGACGAUCCGUAGCUGGUCUGAGAGGAUGAUCAGCCACACUGGAACUGAGACACGGUCCAGACUCCUACGGGAGGCAGCAGUGGGGAAUAUUGGACAAUGGGCGCAAGCCUGAUCCAGCCAUACCGCGUGGGUGAAGAAGGCCUUCGGGUUGUAAAGCCCUUUUGUUGGGAAAGAAAAGCAGCAGGUUAAUACCCCGCUGUUCUGACGGUACCCAAAGAAUAAGCACCGGCUAACUUCGUG
RNAcentral lists this ribosomal RNA (492 nucleotides) under uncultured bacterium. RNAcentral's name for it is "partial 16S ribosomal RNA". It matches the Rfam family "Bacterial small subunit ribosomal RNA", at positions 29 to 507 of the family's 1533-position model. The record is from RNAcentral.